UUAAGGAUUAAGUUAUGAAUUUGUAAUUUAUGUAGUUGAAUGACAUUAAUAGAUUGAUAUAAUACGACAAUGUUUAAAAGCACAGGAGUAAAAUAAUAAAGUAGUAUAGUUUGAUUAAUUGACAGUUACACUGUAUUAAAAGUUUUGUCCCCCUGUUUAAAUGUAUGAAUUAUUUAAAGUCUGGCCCUAGUAAGUUUGGUGGGAAUUGUGAGUUAGUUUAAGGGUGUGGCAUGCCAUAUAUAUCUUGCAGUACUGCACUACAGUUACACUGACUCUUGGGAUACAAUGAGGUAUCCUACAGUUAUAGAAUCGGCUUUUGAGCCAUACAGUUAUUUGGUACUUUGUGCCCUACAGUUACCGUUUCCUUAUCUAACUUAACAGUCCCAUUGAAAUUUAUAGGGGCCAACCGAAACAUAACAAAGAAAUAAAAGUAUUAUGAGUAUGAAAUGAAAAUACGUAUAUAUGUGAAAUAAGAGUAUGCUUUGGAUUUAUAUCAAAUUAUUUGUUAUAUAGCUUAUUGUCAUUUGUUUGGAUUACUGUUAUUCCAUGAAUUUUGAUUUAAAUAUUUAUUUAUAAAAAAAAAACAAUUUGAGCACCACUAAUCACAUUGCUUAGCGCGUAUGAAUUUAUUUUUCCUCGCGCAGGUUGUGGAUCCAGGCAGCAGCAGAUCAAGAUCUGCAUCAACCCAGUUAGAGUUACAUCAUUAACUACAUUGGGGUUUAAUUUGUAAAGUUUAUAUACAGUUACUUUUGGAAAUCAUGGCAUGUACAUAAAGUUCUAGAGAUAAAAUUGAAUAUGGUUUGAAAUGGAUAUAGUUAAAUAUUUUAUUUUAAUUUUGGUGUAAAUGUGGAUGAUUAGUAUAAGUUGUUGUGUUGAGAUUAAUGAAAUGUUAUGAAGUGUUUUGAUCAUUGAAAUUGUGUUGAUGUUGAAAGAAGUUUGGGGGUUAAGGUUGAAAUUAAUAGAAGUGUGAUAUUACUUUUCACAGGUGGAAUUAAGUCCAUAUUUUAGGGGAAACUCUGCCGGAUUUUUGGUUUAAAAAAAAAAAACCAAGAUGUACAUGAUAGAAAGGAAAAAUAAGCGAAUUGUUACAGGAUGUAAUGUCUCCGGCUCACUUAAUCAAAUAACCGGGUAGGGGGUGUUACAAAAAUUUUCCACGUUGAAAUAUGCUAAAAAUCCCUAGAAAUUGCCAAAAAUCCAUUCUUCCCAAAAAUUGGCCCGUCGGUGGGACAGCUAUUGCGUUGGGAGGCCUACCAUACGGGCCUGAACGCAUGCUUGGCAACCAAAUGAGGUUUAGCGCCUCUUCUGUAUGCCUACUAGCUUGCCCCAACACCCUCCACCACGUGCAAGCAUCUCCUGUGCGCCUCGCGACCCAAAUGCCAAAAGAGGUUUGUCUGGUUCUCUUUGUAAGCCCGUCGCGCUCCAGCGCCUGCCUGUAUGCUAGCCAGCCCCUUCUGUCGCAGAUGCUACAAUCGGUUCUCGAUUUUGGCAAAAUUACUUCCCUCACAAAAAUUGCCUAAUCGAGCAUCCUAACUACCACCAGUGCCCAUUUUCAGCAGAAUUGCUUGUCUUGCAAUUUUGGCCAGCGCAAUACUCCAAAUGCUAAUUGUUUUCAACAACUAGCUUGCCCUUCCCAUUUUUGGCCCGAUCAAGGUUAACUUAAAAAAUGGCCUCUUUUUACCUUGCGGGAGCUCAAAAUCAGGGGGUAACACAUUGCUCAACCAACAGGCUUAUGGCACAACACUAUCACUUGCAUUGUUCAGCUAACGGACCUGUGGCACGAGUUGUCGUGCUCAUGCAACAUGCCCAAAGCUCCCUACUGCCGCCUCAAGUGCUUGCUACACCCACAGGCCCUCGCAACCCAAAGUCCUAUGUCCCCACCUAGUCCUUAAGGCAAUAAGUGUGUCGUUUCCUGCCUCACGCUUCAAGUCUCCCUUCCUUCACUUUGAUAGAUGAAAAACAUUAUGUUGCUUUCCAUAUGUCCAAUAAUUUUUUCACAAUUAAAAUUACAAGAAAAUCUAUGAAAAUACCCCAAAAUUACAAGUCUCCCCAUAAGUGGCCUAUUCAAAUUUUCCACGUUGAAAUCUGCCGAAAAUCCCAAGAAAUUGCCAAAAAUCCACUUUUCCCAAAAAUUGGCCCAUCGUUGGGCACAUCAAUUGUGAUGGGAGACCUAAUACGUGGGCUUGCACACACGCCAGGCAGCCAAACGAGUUUCAACGCCUCUUCUGUAGGCCUACUAGCAUGCCCCAAGGCUCCCCCAUUGUGCCCUAGUGCGCCUGCGCAUCCCCUGUGCGCCCUGCAGCUUAACCACGAAUUAAGGUUCAUUUAGGCCUUUCUAUAGGCCUAUCGCGUCUCAAUGCUUGCUUGCGCAUGAGCCGACCACUUCCAUAAAAAAUGCUACCACUGGUGCCUAAUUUCGAUAAAAUUAAAAACUGAAAUUUAAUUUAUAUUUAAAAUUAAUUUAAAUUGAAUUAAAUAAAUAAUCAAAUCAAAUUCAAUUGAAAUAAAUGAAUAUAAUUCAGUCUAAAAUCAAUUAUUCACUUCUUCUUCCUCAAUCUGUGUUUCCAAUCUAUUUGUGUUCUCUUUUGUGAUUAGAGUCACUCCAUCAAAUAAAUUUCAGAACUAAAUUUAUUCUCAAUAUUAACUCAAUCAUAAUCUCAACCAUCCAUACCUAUAAUAAACAAAAGCAAGGUACAGUUAAAAAAAAAUAGUAUAUUACAAAGGAUUUGACAUUUUAAAACGACGAUGGUGUGGAUGCGACAAUGUUAGAAUGUCACGCUGCAACGCAUCACGCAGGAGAUGGGGCUGUGGGAGCUCGAGUGAGGGGUUGCAAUGCAAGAGAGUGGGGUUGUAGUACUGAAAAGGGGGGCUGCAUGGCAGCAAUAUAGGAGAGUGAUUUUCUACGUUGCUACGAGAUGGAGGUUAGAUGCUGAGGUGAUGGAGAGCGGGGCUGCGACAAUGGGUUGCGGGGCUGCGAUGAUGGGGAGUGGGAUUGUAGCGCUAGAUCUGCUGUUGCUGCACACUAGAGAUGAGGUGUUGCCAUAAAUGGUGGUAGUUGAGGAGAAAGAGAUGGAAUGAAGACAAGAAAGAAAUAGCGACUAGGUUUUUUAUUUUAAGAAUGAAUAUGUACAUAGAUUUGAUGGUUGAGAUUCAUUAAAGAUGGAUAGUUAGGAUUAAAAGCCAAUAAAAAAAAAAAAGAAAAGAAAAGGGUGCACAAUUUGUGAAUGCAAUAGAAUUGAAACCUAAACCUCUGACUCCUAAUCUAAGGAGUUCACCACUAAGUUAAAAGGAGACAAAAUACUCUUAAAUAUUUUAAAUAUAUGUAUACGACUCGGUUUAGUUAUAUCGAAAUUUUCCUCUCCAAAAUCGAAUCAAACUAAUUAAAUCAAAAAAUUUUGAAAAUUAAAAUCGAAUCAAACCAAUUUAUCAUAAAAACUAAAGGGUAAUUUAUGAUUUAGUCCCUGGGUAUUACCAUUAUUAACAAGUCAGUCCCUGUAUUUUUAGAAACCUAUUAAAACGUUCUUAUGUUUUAUUUCCGUCAACGAAAUAGUCCUUCUGUCCUAUUUUCCGUUAAAAUUAGAUAAAGGAGGAGAGAGAAAAUUUUUAAAAUCCAAUUUUACCCUCAAAUAAAACCAUUUAUUUAGUCCUUGUAUAUUACAAUUAUUAACAAGUUAGUCCUUAUAUUUUCAAAAAUCUAUUAAAAUAUUUUUAUCUUUUUUUAUAUCUAUUAAAACGUCCUUAUCAUUUUUUUAUGUCAACUAAAUAGUCCCUAUCUUUUCUCAGAUCUAUUAAAACGCCCUUAUCGUUUCUUUUUGUCAACGAAAUAGUCCAUGUCUUUUCUUUCGUCCUCCUCCUCCUCCUCCUCCUCCGAAAAAGAAGAAAAAGAGAAAGAAGAAGAAGAAGAAGAAGAAGAAGGAGAAGAAGAAGAAGAAGGAGGAGGAGGAGAAGAAGAAGAAGGAGGAGGAGGAGAAGAAGAAGAAGAAGAAGAAGAAGAAGAAGAAGAGAAAGAAGAAAAAGAAGAAGAAGAAGAAGAAGAAGAAGAAGAAGAAGAAGAGAAAGAAGAAAAAGAAGAAGAAGAAGAAUGAGAAGAAGAAGAAGAAGAGAAAGAAGAAAAAGAAGCAAAAGAAGAAGAAGGAGAAGAAGGAGAAGAAGAAGGAGAAGAAGGAGAAGAAGCAGAAGAAGAAGAAGAAGAAGAAGAAGAAGAAGAAGAAGAAGAAGAAGCAGAAGAAGAAUUGAUGAAGAAGAAAAGGAAGGAGGAGGAGAAGGAGAAAAAUAAUGGGGGGUAAUAUAGUCUUUUACUAUAUUUUUAAUGGCAAAAAUAGACAGAAGGACUAUUUCGUUGACGGAGAGAAAAUAUAAGGAUAUUUUAAUAGGUUUCUAAAAAUACAGGGACUGACUUGUUAAUAAUGGUAAUACCCAAGGACUAAAUCGUAAAUUACCCAAAACUAAACUAAAUUACUAAAUUAAAUCAGUUUGGUCAAUUUUUUCGCUCUAAAUCAAAUAGUGCUCACCCUUACUAGGCGCUAUAAUAUCAUAUGUACAGCUUUAGCUCAACGCUUACCAGAAAUGGGCUUGACUGAACCUCACCUACUUUAGUGUUAGGCCUACCGCGAAUCUACUUAGUAUUGCGCCCAGAAUUGGCACUAUUGAACCUCAUUUUGCCACCAGCACCCUAGCUACGAAAUUGGCAACCAAUCUAUCCUCAUUUCGUGCUUAACCCCCAACGAUGUUAGUGCGAUUUCCUCUUCACCCCACAAGUGCCACCACUAGUUGAACCUCAUCUGCUUCAAUGGUAGACCUACUGCGGAUCUACCUAGUGGCGUUGUUGAACCUCAUCUCCUUUAGUGGUAGGCCUAUCAUGGAUCUGCCUAGUGCUGCGCCUAGAAUUGGCCCAAUUGAACCUCAUUUUGCCAAUAGCAGCCUACCAUCGCCCCAGCUAUGAAAAUUAGCAACUAACCUAACCUCAUUUUUUGCUGAAACCCCAACGAUGCUAGUGCAAUUUCCUCUUCUCCCCACAAGUUCCACCACCAUUUGAACCUCAUUUGGGUAGCAACUUGCGAUGAAAAAUUGGAUUCUAUAGGAGGCAAUAUUUGUGGAGUUACACCCAGCACGCCCCACAGCCCAACUAACAAAUAAGGUUCAUAUGGGCUUCUCCUUAGGCCUGCCACGCCCAAGCGCUUGUCUGCCGCCAGCUAGCCCCUUCUGCCGUAGAUGCUAUCACCUGUACCCAAUUUUGACAGACUUGUUUCCCCUUGCAAAAACUGCCUACUCGAGCACCCUUGAUACCACUAGUGCCGCUUUUGGAAAAAUUGCUUCUCUUGCAAUUUUGGUCAACCCAACGCUCCAAAUGCUAAUUGUUUUCAACAAUUGGCCCGCAUUUCCUUUUUUUUGCCCGAUCAAGGUUAACUUAAAAAAUGACCUCUUUUUUAUUGCAAGACUCAAAAUUAAAGGGUAACAUAUUGCUUAACCAACGGGCUUAUGGCGCAACGUUGUUGCUCGCAUUACUUAGCCAAUGGACCCAUGGCACAAGCUGUCACGCUUAUGCAACAUACAAGAAGUGCCUUACUGCUGCCCUGAGCGCAUGUUGCUCCCAUGGGCCAUGUGAGCCAGUUUGAAGUGUAAUUCUCACCGUGCGAAGAGCUGAAUCAUUUGCAGACAACUUAAAUACGAAAUGGGGUAUUGUAAGUGGCAAAGUGGCCUUGCUGCCACGAUCCACUAAGAUUUAGUCCUUUGUCGCUCCAGUUCAUCCUUCUCCCCUCAUUCCCUCCAACUUCCCACCGUGCGGCCUCGAGAUUACCCCCUUUCAUGAUUGCAUUCUCUAAGGCCUCAGAGUUCAUAAGUCCCUGCUGCUUGGUGCAUCACGUAGAGUCCUAAAGUCCCAAAUACUCACCUAGUCCUUAGGCAAACAGUGGCUUGUUUACCACCCCUAGCUUCAAGUCUCCCUUCCUUCACUUUGAUAGAUGGAGAACUUUGUGUUGCUUUCCAUGUGGCUAAUAAUUUUUCCACAAUUAAAAUUACAAGAAAUCCAUAAAACAUACACCAAAAUUAAAAAGCGUCCCCAUAAGUGGCCCAAUUAAAAUCUUCAACAUUGAAAUCUGCUAAAAAGAAAUACUAAGAAACUGCCAAAAAUCCAUUAUUCCUGAAAAUUGGCCCAUCGAUGGGCACAAUGCAUUGAGAGGCCUGCCACGCAGGCUUGCACACAUGCCUGGCAGCCAAACGAGGUUUAGCGCCUCGUCCGUAGGCCUACAAGAGCACCCCAGCCUACCCUGCAGCCCUAAUGCCAAAUGAGGCUUGUAUGGGCCUGUCCACAGGCUUGCCGUGCCAUUGCAGCUGCUUGCAUGCUAGCUAGCCCCUUCUGCCGUAGAUGUUACCACCGAUACCCGAAUUCGACAGAAUUGUUUCCCUCGUAAAAAUUGCCCAAUUGAGCAUUGUGCUACCACCGGUGCCCUUUUUGGCAGAAUUGCUUCUCUUGCAAUUUUGACAAAUCAAUACUCCAAAUGCUAAUUGUUUUCAACAAUUCGCCCGCCCUUCUGUUUUUGGCCUGAUCAAGGUUAACUUAAAAAAUGGCCUCUUUUUGACUUGCGGGAGCUUAAUAUCAAAGAGUAACAUAUUGCUCAACCAACGGCUUAUGGCGCAAUGCUGUCACUCGCAUUGCUCAGCCAACAGACUAGGUGCACUAGGUACCUUUACAGUAGAAGAUCUACUAGCAGCUAAAGAUAUUUUUGCUGCACCAUGUGCCUUUUGCUGCUUUAGAUGCUAAUUGAUGGGAUCUAUUUCAUGUAUGUACAUUUACAACCCAAAAAAAUCAUCAAGAAGUAAAAAGAUAAUCUGCAACAACAAUUUGUGUGCACAUUAUAACUGUUGCCUUGGAAUAUUCAGCAGUUGCCCUUACAUGGUCUCGUAUGUCUCAGCUCGUACUCGUACUUUUGGAAUUUUGGUAGAGGAUGUUUUGCAUUUAACAACCGAAGAUUCCAGAAUCUGCUUUUAUACAUUAAAUUAUUCAAAUAAUUUAAUUAUGACUAUCUCUUAACCAGCAGUGCAAAGGCAUCGGGCAAUAAUAUUGGAAUGUAUUAAAGUUGUCUAGUUUUACCAAUCAUUACCUUCAUAGUUAUUACUUAUAAGGAAAAAUAAAAAAUCCUAAAACAGUAGAUGUUUUUGUUAUAAAUAUAUGUGUUUCACUAACACCAAAGGGGAAAUGAUUUAAAAUGAUGAACAUGAAGUCAAAUGCUUGAACAAAAAUCAUCUCUCAAAAAAUUUUAAAGGAUUGAUGUUUGAAUUCUUCAAAAGUGCUCGGAACUUUUAGACAAAAUAAAGAGAUCAAGAUGUUUAGAUGAGGUGACGAGGUCUGACAACCAUUUUGAUGGGGUGAUUUGCUGAAGAGCUGACCUGUAAAGAGGAAGGGCUGACUUGUUGAGCUGACCAAAGCAGGCAUGAUGAAAGAAGGCUGAAGUGUCCGGAUGCUCCCAGGGCUUACUGCCAAAAGUUGCUUCAUUGUUCAAAAGUAAGUUGUACCCUUCAUCAUUUAUAAAUUGUGGUUCUCCCAAGUUAUUGUUAUUAAUAUUUGUUUGGGGGAGUGUAACCCAACAUUGGUUCCACUUUUUUUCUUUUAACAAACAAUAUUUUCUAAACAUACGGAGUAACCCAAUAUUUGUUCCAUCUUUUUUUCUUUUAACAAACAUUAUUUAAAACCAAAUUCUUGUAGUAUUUAGUCUCGUCUAUUUCAUAGGAAAUAUUUUUCAAGAAAAUAUUUUUUUUAUAUUUUUUUGACAUUUAAGACAUUAAAAAAAAUUUAGUCAAUGAAAAAUAUUAUUUUGAAAUUUUUAGAAAUAGUAAACCAUUUUAAGAAAAAUGACUUUCUGUUUUGGAAAGAGCAAGUAAUUUUCUAUAUUUUGAUAUUUUUAUUAAGACCACUUCCAUAUAUAAAUUUGUUAAUAAAUUUUAUUUUUUAAAUUAAAAUUAAAUAAUGAAAAAUAAAUUAUUUUAUUAAAAAGUAAUGAAAUUUAUUUUUUAAGUAUAAAUUAUUUUACACGAAGAAAUAAAUAUAAGAUAUUGUAGGCAAUUCAAAAUAGUCUUUCCGAUGGCCAUCAUCAUUUUAGUAUUUUUCUUUCAUACUUUUGCUUGGGGACAAUUUAAUGGUCAAUUUCCAGCCAAUCCAUGGAAGAUUUUUCUCCAAUGGGAGAUGAUCAUUGAAUUUAUUUUCUUUAUUAAUGAUGUCAAAGAUUGAUUCUGCUCUAUGUUACAUUCCAAAAUCCAACCUGCUUUUGUGAGCCGUCCUAUGUCUCUUUGAAGGUUGGGGAUAGAGGGUGAUAUAAUUGGAUUCAGUUAAAUUGGUCUACCGCGAGUCGUUUUGAACUAUUGCACUGAGCUUUUUGUGUAGUAUAUUUACUCUACUUUUCGGUGCUUUAGGUUCUCCCCUGAUAAAAUUGGGUAUAUUGAUCAGAUGCUCAAGGUUCUUAAUGAAGUAAAAAUCUGAAUAUCAAUCCUUUAUAUUGUAUUAGUAACAUGUUUGAAGUUUGUCUUGGGACAUUUCGAUUUUAGCAGGAUCUUCAUCUUGGCUUAAAAGGUUAUACUAUCAGGGAUCACUGAAAAAGCAAAAAUAUUAUUUCUGUGGCAGAUACCACAUGUGGCUAUUUCAGUCAAGAUGCCAGAAUGGGCAUUGAUAUUUUUUCUUGAAUCAAUUUGAACAGGAUACUACUGUGUACUCUAUUUAGCUUAAGGCAUGGUCUUCAAUAUCUUCUCCAUGUUUCUUUGUUCUGUAAUCAUUCCCUCAAACAGUUUCACCUGCAGCUAUAGCUUUCUUUACCGUUGCAUUAAGAGAAUUCAAUGCGUUGUUGCUUCUGCAUUAUAAAUCUCAAAUGACUUUUGAGCCUGUAAAUGUAGGCAUUUUGAUGGAGAAUAAAAGUUGUGAAAAAAGAAACCCAAUCUGACAUAUGUGGUUCUAGUGUUGACCCUAAUUCUAAGUUUCCUUGAGUCUUCUAAUUUUUUUUUUCUUGGGUUUCUUGUCAUAUGCUCAUUAUGGCAUUGAAUAAGCAAGAUUUAAGUAAUAUUCAAGUGAAUUUUAACCGAAUGAUCUCAUCUUAUUUAGAUCGUUGUUAAAUCUAUUUGAAUGUAAUGCUAUGAUUUCCAGAGAAAAUAGGGUUUACAGUGGUUUAGUAAGCUUGGUUUGAGAGGAGGGUGUUCCUCUCCUUUCUUUUCUUUUAUCUACUAGUGACGUCCAACGACCUUGCUGCUAUUGGACCAUUUGUCUCUGUCAUACGAAUAUGUACGCGUCAGACGUUUGCUCCAUACUAAACGACCAUUUAAUUUUCCUCCUGGUACGCGUGUAAACAGAUCUACUAGGUGGAUAGGUCGGUUAUCACCUCUCCUGCUAAGCCCCAUGACCGAGCUGGGGGUGAAGAAACUGAGGCCCAAGGGAGGGCCUAUCUCAAGGCCGAAUGGUCUGGGCCGGCCCAUUUAAAAGGCUUCGUGAACUUUGGACUAGAGCUGUCAUCAUGGACUCGACCUCGUAUCGAGGUGGUGAAAUUCAGCGGUCAUCAAAAUAUAUAAGGUAAAUCUUAAAUAUCCUUGAAUUUUAUCUUGAUUCGAAUUUUACGAUUCUGGAUUUGAUUCUUUAGUUUUGCUAUUCAAAUCUAUAAGGUAGAUGAAUUAUAACUCAAUUUAAAACAGGUAAUCAAUAUGAACUAACAGAAUUUCCACCCUAUUCAAUUAAUUAGUUAUAAAGAAUUUGUUAAAUUUUAUAUUUUUAAAAUUUAAGAUCUUAUUUAUUUUUACUAUAAAAAAGUGUAUAUAAAAUUCCUAGAUUAUCUUUCUUUCAACUAACCAUUUUUUGUUCUCUUUCUCUUCUUUCUUUUCAAUUAAUUUACUUAUACUAAUUAUAGUUAUUAACUUAAGAUAAUUUAUAUUAAUAAUAAUAAUUUGUUAUCUUUUUUAAUUAUUUAAUUAUUUAAAUAAAUUUAAAUGAGAUUUUCAGUAUAUAUAACUAUUUUCUAUAAUUUGAAAGUUUAUAAUUUAUAACAUAAAACUUCAUAACAUAAUGUAUACGUAUUAUUUUAUUAUGAAGAAUAUUUCUAUAUAGAUGAAUCAUAAUUCUAUAUUUAUUAAAAUAUGGAUAUAAUUUUUAAAAUAUAUAUUAUUGUUUAUUAAUUUUUAAAUUUUAGUAAAUUUUAGAUUUGUCUCAAUUAUCGAUUCAUAAAAUAAAGAUUUUGAUUUUCGAUUUGACUCUAAAUUUGAUAAUUAUAUUUAAAAUUAGCUCGUAUUUGUGUAAAAUUUUUCUUAUGGAAACUAUUUUAUGAAAAUAAAUGUAAUUGUGAAUGAUCGCUUAACAAUAUUGUUUCUAAAAUUCUGUGAAUUUCAAAUUCUGAAUUUUAAAUCGUGAACCCUCAAUUUCACAAAUUUCAGCUUCACAAUUCUAUAAAUUAUAUUUACAUGUUCCAUGUUCUUCUCAAACCUAUAUAUAUUGAUUGUAAGUUACGACUUUAUAAUUUCAGUUUUAUUUUCAUAUUCCUAAUAGCAAUGUAAUUCACAUACAUAAUAUUAUUUUUUAAAAUAUUUCAUAAAUAUUCAACAAAUAUUAUAUUUACUUCAAACUAAUUUUAUUUCUGUAUUUUUCUUAGAAUUUGAGUUAUAUACAUUAUUAAUUAUAAAAACAGAUAUAUUAAUGCCUAAGAAACCAUUAUUUGUGUACUUAUCUAAAAAAUCUCAUAAACUUUUAUGACAUUUAUAAUCCCGCAUUUUUAAUCUAAUCAAUUAUUCAUUAGCUAAUUAUUUUCAUCAUUUUCUUUUUUUACCCUUACUAAGUCUAAUCUUAUAGUACAUUUCAAAAAGCAUCUCUUUUUCUUAGUAUGCUAAACUAUGCACUAUAAUCACCAUAAUAUCUAAUAUCAUGUUCUGCUUCAAGCUCUUUAAUUCUUAAAGUGUGAAAAAUUACUUUACUUUUUGAAAGGAUAAUUUUUUUUUUAAAUGGCUUAAUUUUUCUUUUGACAUAGAAAAAUAUUUUUCCUUAAUUAAAAUUUUCAAAUGCUCUAAGCUUUAGACAACAUAGAAAAUGUUUUUCUAGAAAAUAUUUUUUAUGAAAUAAAAAGACAUCUGAAGACGUGUGUUAAUUGGUAUAAGGGCAUUUUAGAUAUUAAAAUUUUUUAGGUAAUGUAAGGAGUAAAGUAGAGAUUUCAAUAUAUUUCAGAGUGUACAGUGGAGAAUUUAAUAUAUUUCAGGGACUAAACAACAUUUGACCCUGAAAUAAAAUUCCAAAAACAAUCAGCUGCACGUUAGCAUUGCGAGGCAAGAGGUUUGCAGCACAUGGCGUUGAAAUGAAAGGAAGGAACUGACAGCAAGAUACAUUAAUGGACGUGUUAUUGUAUGGAUCGAAACCCCAUUAUUCAGUAUUCACCACUUGUGGCACUCUAAUCAUUUGCAUAAAACUGUCAAAACUCUUCGCUUUCGUACACACCACACAGAUGAGAUAUGUUAUAGGCAAAGCUGCAAAAGACAGCUCUUCAAUGUUAUUAUUACCAUGUUUUGCAUGAUUUUAUUUUUUAAUCAAUAUAUAAAUCUUGUAUUAAUUAAACUAAUCUUUGUAUUUGAAUAUAAUUUUAAUUAUUUUAAAAUGGAAAUGUGAUUGUGCUGCUGAAAUUUUAACUGCUUUUAGUUUAAUUAAAAUUACAGAUUUGAUUAUUCGAAUUUAGGUUAUUCAAGAAAAUUUUAUUUUUAAACGUGAAAGUGUUUUAUAUUUUAAAAAAAUAAACAAACCAAUUAAAUAAUUUCAUUUUUAAUUUUGAAAAUUGAUUAGAAUAGCACCCAAAAUUAAAAGUUGAGCCAAUGAAUUCAAAAUUCAUAUGUUUUAAUUAAACACAAAUCGCACAAAGGUUGAAUUGCUUUAAACUUCGUUUUCCUGUUUUAGUUUGGAAAUGGAAAUGUAUUUAAUUUUCCCAAUCUGAAGUGUAAUGAUUCAAGCAGUUGUUGUCUCUAUAGAUAAAAGAAGCUUUAACAUAUUUAUGGAGAGCUUAAGAAUCUAAAUAAUUUAUCAUUUGAUGACUAAUACUUGUAGGGCCAGUAAGUGAAGACAUACACCAUCACCAUGUGCACAUAUAAUUCAAUACAAUAGGGGAUUAGUCGGUUGAGUCAAAUCUUAAGUAUAUAAAUUUGAAUUGUGAUUAUUAAGAUCAGAAUAUCAGGCCAAAAUCUCACAGACCACUUCCAAGUCCCAACAACAAGAAAAAGGCCAAAAGAUAAGCUCUCAACUACCAGGAAGCUUGUAUAGACCAGCUGGUUUUGUCGGUGUGGAACCAAGCACCCCCAUAAGUCCCACUGAACCAUGAGAGAGAGAGACAGAGAGUUGCCAAAUGCCAUUUUUUUAACGCAGGCCAAAUGCCAAUUGAACCCAAAAAAAAACAAGGGAGUUCAGUUCACUACACUUAACUGGUGGAAUAAACCACAUUCUCUAGUGUAGUUACCUAAAACAAGACCUAGAUACAAAUGUAGCUGAACAAAAAGGCACUCUUUUUUAAUUUUUUUUUUCUCGGUUAGAGAGCGAGAAAGAGGGAUAAAAGCAAGAAAAAUACAUUCAAGCACAAACGUCUUCUUACUCCAAAAGAAGUGAAUCACACAUAUUAUUUCUCUGGUGCUUUGUUGACUGCAAGGAAAGGGAGGAAAAAAAAAAGUAAGAGAAAGAUACCCCAAAGUCGGGAACCAAAUGUUUAGGUUUCAAGAAAAAAAAUCUCAACCUGACGCCAUUACUGAUGAAAUGAAUCCAUUGUAGUUCUUCAAUUGCUGGAUCUAUGAGGAGGAGGAGGAUACGGUGGAGAUUCAGAAUAGAAAGGGAAAUCAAAAUGUUGUGAUGUGAGAAUUAGUCUGUGAUUCCAUAUUUGUUUUAGAGCGAUAAAUUUCUUGUUUAUUUGUUGGGGGCAUUGACCAUUUUUAAUUGAUUGGAGAGAGGAAGUGAUGGAGUCUCGAAUGGAUCAGUAUGAGAUCAUGGAGCAGAUCGGUCGCGGUGCUUUUGGCGCUGCCAUUCUCGUUCAUCACAAAUCCGAGAAGAAGAAGUACCUCUCUCUUCCCGUCUCUAUUUAUUUAAAUAAAUAAAUGAGAUAUAUAAAAUUUUUGAAUGAAUUGUUUUGGUUGUGUCUGAUUUUUGUUUUCUUUUUCAACUGUUAGGUAUGUGUUGAAGAAGAUCCGACUUGCACGGCAAACUGAACGAUGCAGGAGAUCUGCUCAUCAAGAAGUAGGUUUCAGUCUCUCUGCUGGUGUCACCUCUGAUCUGCCGUGUGCUUUUUCUAAUGAUUUAGCCUUCGCCUUAAUGCUGAUUUAUUUAAUGGUAACGUUGCUGAUUUAUGUAAUUUAGAUGGCUCUUAUCGCGCGGAUUCAACACCCUUACAUUGUAGAAUUCAAAGAAGCAUGGGUUGAGAAGGUACUGUUGGGAAAUAUCAUAGGAAACCAAAGCUUUAUCAAAUAUGAGUUCUUUUGUCACGUUCUUAUGUGUGUUUGCAAUUUUGUAAUAACUGAAUGAACAUUUCCUAUCUGUAAUUUAGGGUUGCUACGUUUGCAUUGUCACUGGAUACUGUGAAGGAGGUGACAUGUGAGUACCAACAAUUAGUUGAAAUUUGGUUUAUAGGAUUUGAGUGAUUAACAAAUGAAUUCACAUUGUUAUUUUACAAUAUUGCUGACAGGGCUGAAUUAAUGAAAAAAUCAAAUGGGGUAUAUUUUCCUGAGGAGGUAACCUGAAUUCCUCUCUCCUUUUUCUUUUCUUCCUUCUCCAUGUCCAUAUGUUUGAAUUUAUUUUCAGUGUUGACUUCCUGUAUUGUUUAUGAUUCUUGAAAAUUUCUCAGAAACUCUGCAAGUGGUUUACACAACUACUGUUAGCUGUUGAAUAUCUGCAUGCGAAUUUUGUUCUGCAUCGUGACCUGAAAGUAUGUGAAUAAGUAUAUGGACAAGUCAUGUUAUUUUAGUUCUUACUUUUGGAAAUAUGUUAUGGACUGAAUGAGUUAAGUGCUCUCUUGGCAGUGUUCCAACAUCUUUCUUACCAAAGAACAGGAUGUUCGCCUUGGUGUGUUUCUCUUACUGACAUUUAGUUACAAUUUCCUUGGACUUGUGUAACUUAUUAAUUUUUGUUUAUUGGUCAUACUUAGGUGAUUUUGGACUUGCCAAAACUUUGAAAGCAGAUGACUUGGCCUCCUCGGUAUAUGUUCUUUUAUGGAUUGGUUUUUGUUUCAAAUGUUUCUUACUGCCAUUUGCCUAUUUAUGGAGGAAAUGGAAGUUCUUUUGCAUGAUUUCCUAUUUCGUAGUCAAGAGGUUUUUCGCCUCUUUUUUUCUUUUGUUUGGUAAUAAACGUGUAGAACUAUAUGAAGCAGUAUGUUGUCAAACUAUCUCCUUUUGCAUUUGAGACUUAUUGCAUGAAGAUGAAAUUCUUACAGUAUAAGAUGUAAAAUUAAUGUAGUGUAUUAAAUGUGUAACAAUUCAUCUUUUGGAAGUGGCAGCCAUACUCUAUUUUCUUAUAAAAAACAAGGGCCUAAUACACCCCCCAAAAGCUAGCUCAAGGUGAAGAGAUUCCCAAGAUUUUGUAAUAGGCACAUUACUCCUAUCCAAACUAAUGUAAAAAUUUUAACACACUCUCUAAUACCCAGAACAUGUGAAGUGUGAAAUACUUAUGGAGAGCUGAAUAUUGGAUGGGGAGAUGUUCGAUACCAUCUUAAGAAAAUAAGUGGGGCCUAACUCACUCCCAAAAACUAGCUCAAAGAGGGAAAAAGUUCCCAAGGCUUUAUAAGAGGCAUAUUACUCCUAAUUCAAAUCUAUGUGGGAAUUUAACAUAUUUUUCUUUCUAGUGCAGUUGAAGUUCACAUGGCCAAAGUUUAGUUCUUUCAAUUUUCACUAUAGUUGUUCAUGUCUAAUCGUUUCACUAAAAUGAGGGUGUGGACUGGCGAAUCCUUUUUGAAAACUUCUUUCAUUUUUGUAAUGAUAGAAAUCUGAUCAAGGGAAGAAAUUCUCAAGUCCUAUCAUAUGAAUGUUAUUAUUGGCGGUCAGAACAUAUGUGCUUCAUUGCACAACAACAAUGACAACAAAUAAUCUAAGAAAGAGCCUAAUAUUGCUAAAUGGAAGUAGCAUGUUAAAACUAAAUCACUUUUUAGUUAUAUGUUAUCCCAUUAAAGUUUAAACCCAAACCAGAGAAGAAAAGUUAUGUUUUAAAAUUUACUCUAAGGUUACAUAUCAAGUGCAGCUGCUCAUUCUUUAUGAAUUUAUUUACAAUUUGACAAGGGGAUCAACGUAUAUAGUAAUUCCAUAGUGUAAGAGGUCAUAGUUAUUUGCAUCACUAUCAGGAAAAUAAUAGUUGUUUUGUAUCCAUAUGAGCAGGUGGUUGGGACUCCCAAUUAUAUGUGUCCUGAGCUCCUUGCGGAUAUUCCUUAUGGUUUCAAAUCAGACAUUUGGUCUUUGGGUAUGUCCCUUCCAGAUAAUAUAUGUAAAUUUUGUGCCUUCCUUUUGUUUUUGGCUAAAAUGUUUCAUUGCUGAUCAGGAUGCUGUAUGUAUGAGAUGGCUGCUCAUCGCCCUGCCUUUAAAGCUUUUGUAAGAAUUCCAUGUUCUUUCUUUCCAGAUAUGAUUUUUUUUAUUUAUUUAUUUUCAUGAAAAUGGUGUUUAUGUGCUGCUUCUUGCCCAAACAGUGUGUUCACAUGCAGUUCAUGAUAUCUUUCUUGAUAUUAUGUAAAAGUAGAACAGGUUGUAUAAUCUAUUACUGGAGUCAGCCAUCAACUCUUGUUGGUAUUAAAGUAUACAUUGAUUCAGUAAAUGGAACAUGACUUUUUCUUUGUGAUUGUUAAUAAUCCUUACUUUAGUUGUAGUUAAUCAUUGUUUUCAUUGCAGUUUUUAUGGACUGAUAAUAGUUGCAAACUAGCUGUGUUUUUGUACAUUGUGACAAAUUAUGCAUGUUCUACAGUCACUGCAUAAAAUAUUACGCAAGAAAUUAGCAACUGCUUUAGAUUCCAAACACUGUUGCCUUUACAGUGCAUAUUCCAGAAUGUUAAAGUUCUUUAGAAGUAUGCAUGAUGAGGGUUUAAUCUCAAGCAUCUGUUAAAGGUUUCUGUAACUUUGUUUAUAUUUGGCUGCAUGAAAUUUGUAGCUUUCUCUUCUUACUAAAUGCCUCUGUAUGUCUUACAGGACAUGGCAGGACUGAUAAGUAAGAUAAAUCGUUCCUCAAUUGGCCCUUUGCCUUCUUGCUACUCUCCAGCCUUGUAAGUCAUGAUGCACUGUUAUAAAACUUACUGUUCUCAUGUAUUUUAUAAAAUACAGUAUCAGGGAUUAGAUCACCUGUCUUGAUACUCGCCUGCAUGGCCACUAGGCAAUUGCUACUUGUAGCAAUGCUCAUGCUCUGGCGAUGGCUGCAACGUUAUAAUUAAUAGGUCAUGACUUACUAUAUAGGUAUACUUACAGCUUCCUAUUUUCAAAGAAAAGCUUCUGUGGAUUUUGUUGAUGCAACUACAGAUCUUCAGAUUGAUUUUUAACCAUUUGGUGACCUACUCUUACGUGUUCCAUUUUUUUUUUCUUUAAUUAGUGCCAGGCAAAAAGAUAGAUUUCAGGCAUUCUUCAAAAUAAGACAUGAGACAUGUGAAUUGGCUUUAAUGAAUCAACCAUGUGGAUAGCUAAGACAUCCACUAGGCUCUUUGUUCUUUCUAGCUUUAUCCCUAAUAUUCGUGAUCCACCAUUGUAUCACUGCAUGAUAGCUUAUCUUUUUAUGUGCAGGAAAACAUUAAUCAAAGGCAUGCUGAGAAAGAACCCUGAGCAUCGACCUAGUGUAAGCAUCUCUCCUAAAUAUGGAUCUCAAUUUUCAGGAAUCUUUGCUUGUAGGACUUCAUCUUAAAAUUCUGGAGUUGCUUUGUCCAGGCAUCAGAGGUUUUAAAGCAUCCUUACUUGCAGCCUUAUGUUGAUCAGUAUCGUCCAUCCUUCACUCCCCCAACGACCUGUUCUCCUGAGAAGCCCUUUUCUACCUGUCAGGAUUCUCGGAAAAAUAUGGCUGAAAGCCAGAACAGUAAUAGUUCUAGUAGCGAUAAAGAUGGUUUGCUUUCCAGUGAUAGAAAUGUCCAAGUAAUGGUCUCAAAUUGUGAGCACAAAGCCAGUGAUACAGAUUUAGCUUCUAUUGAUGAUGAAGAUGAUGAUGACCAGAACAUGCGAAGCAAAGAAGGGAGCAGCCCCACCUUAUGCACCGUUAAAAUGGAUGAAAAUAGGGUGGUGAAACCUUAUCAUGAUGAACAUGGAUCCAAUGUUGAAUCAAAGCAACCAAAGACCAUUAAAAGUAUUAUGAUGGCCUUAAAAGAAGGAAAAGCUAGAGAAAAUGGUUCUCCAAUGAGAGGUAACCGUAUAAAGGUUGCAGGUUCUCAAAGAAGUAACACUGAAGUGCCUCCCAAAGUUCAGAAACCCAGUGCCCUUAUUUCUUGUUUGAAGUCUAAUGCAGACACACCUACAAUUUCUCCAUCAAAGGUUGCUUUUGAUUCUGCAAAGCGGGUUCAGGGAUCACAUCAUUCAAAGCAGCAGGUAUAAUUAGAUCUUAUUAUUUUCUAUUAUUUUUAGGGUCUAUUUGGCAUUGCUUUGAAACUGCUGUUGAGGAAAGCACUUUCUAAUUAUAUUUGUUAGAAGGGAUUAAAAUUGAUUUAAAAUUAAGUUUGAUCAGUUUAGUCAUAAAACAUUAAAAUAAAAAAACAAGUUUUCCAAAAUGAUUUUCCAAUAACAUCUAAAGCAAUGCUCUUUUCUAGAAAGCAGUUUUGGCCUCCAGGCCACCAUGCCAAACAGGCACUUGUAUGUAUGUGAAGAUAAUCACUUAUAUUGGAAGUAUACCUUUACAGUUACCCAUAAUUGACUCUACACCAAAAGCAAAACCUAGACAUGAUGGUAUUCCUUCAUCUGUUCCAUUAAAGCAUGUUGAUGAUGGGCUUCCUGCAAAGCAAAGGCAAAAAACUCCUCCUUCCAAUCUGGUUAGGCGAUGUGCAUUUCCUGGACGGACAAGACAGGUGGGAACUGAUGUUCCAAAUGGCGUCACUCACACCAUUAAGUUAAGUCCAACUGAGAUGACCCAAGCACCUGAAAAUCCUCAGUAUCAAGUUCAUGAUGGUCCUCUUUUACAUUAUCCAAAGGAGGUCAGAGAGGAGACUCGGACUGCUAUAUUUGGAGCUUCCAGAGGAGUGCAAACAGAUAGCAGUAAUUCUGUCUCGUCUUCAGUGUCAGUCCAAGCAUUUGAGCUUUGUGAUGAUGCAACAACUCCAUUGGUUGACAUGACAGAACAGACACUUCCUGAUGUUGAGCUCACAAAGAACAUAGAAUUACAUCCACCCAGCUGCUCAGUUGCUUCCCUUUCGGAUUCCAAGUCAUCAAAUUUGUCUGGAGAAAACUGUGAAUACGCUUAUAAAUCUGUAACGCAUUCAUCUGAAACCUCAAAGCCUGUGGUGGUCCUUUAUCCUCAGAAAAAUACUGUUGUUUGUGAUGGAAAAGUGAGUUCAAGUGCUACUCUGGAUCCAUCAGUCACAAGUUUUGAAGAAAUUUCGAUUUGUGAAGAUAAUAUCAUUACAAGUAGGCCUGAUACUGUGCCACAAUCAAAUCUUGCAUCUAGAUCAAGUGGUGGUGACAAGUUCACUGUAAGAGAACUUCUAUCAUCAGUUCAGGAGACUGCUUCUUCAAUUGCCUCAGUGACAUCUUCUAGCCCAAAGAAUUUGCAGCCAGAGAAAGGAGUCAUUUUGCAAAACCCAAUGACUGAGAAGCCAAGUGCUGCCCAACUUCCUGCUGCUUUUGAUGAUGUUAUACAUGUUAUUAGACACAGUAGUUUUCGUGUUGGGAGUGAACAGCCAGUUAUGGAAACCGUGGAGAUGGGAGUUCAAAAUGUGGAUGUUGGAAAGCUAUUGAAUGUAGUAAGAGAUGAAUUAGAGGCGAGAAAUAUGACUACACCUGUGACUCUUAAAUCAUCAAGUUGCUCUGAAACUAUGAAAUCAAAUAUGUCAGAUCAUUCUUUGAGAUCAAAUAUUUCAGAUCAUUCUGGCACUAAGGAAAUGGAUAAUAAAAAUGUGGUUCCUCCAGUUCCAAAAUCAGGUACUUCUGAGCCAACAAAACCUACCUCCCUGGUUAUGGAAGAGGAAGCACACGCAAAGGAAACUUUAGAUGUUAAGUCCUUUAGGCAGAGGGCAGAAGCACUUGAGGGGCUUCUAGAAUUGUCUGCUGAGUUGUUGGAGCAAAACAGAUUGGAAGAGCUUGCUGUGGUUUUGAAACCUUUCGGGAAAGACAAGGUUUCUCCGAGGGAGACAGCUAUCUGGUUAGCAAAGAGUCUUAAAGGAAUGGUAUUGAAGACAAUGGAUGGAGCUCAUGAAUCAUGAUAGCUGUGGUAAGCAAGCUCUUGUUAUACAUGUAUUGAUACGUCCAGUAAUUUUAGCCUUUUAAUGAUUUUUCCAAACUUAACUUCCAUUGAAUUUUUAAAGAGAACAAACAGGUCUUGUCUUCUCCUCUGACCUCUCCUCCUGCUUCCACUUUUCUUUUUUUUAUUUGUCUGUAAUUCUUUCUUGUGCACUUCGUUUUGUACAUAGUGAACAUACAAAUUAUGUCUCCUGGCAAAAUGUAUUGGUGUGCGGUCUUAAUCGAUGAUUACAAGGUUUGGGUGCAAUCAAUAUUUAGGCAUCAUUAGUUAUUCUUGGCUGAUAAAAUUAAUUUCUGACCUCAAUGAAACCAACAUCCUUUAUCAAUCAAAUUACCAAAAUCGUCCUUUCACCUUUUGUCGAACAACCAUAUAUAUAUAUAUAUAUAUAAAUUUACUAUUUAGUUUCUAUAUUAUAGAACUGGUCCUUUUGUUUUAAAUAAUCUAUUGAAUCAUUUCUAACAUUUAAAAAAAUCUAUUAAUUAAUUUCUCUGUUAAUUUUAACCGUUAAAUAUUAUAAAAAAUUCUAAAAUGUCACUCGAUAGAGGAAUUAAUUCGUUAAAUAUUAUAAAAAAAUUUUAAAAUGUUACUCAGGAUUAAUUGGUAGAUUUUUUAGAAAUUUAAUAAAUUUUUUAAAAAUUUAAAAAUUAAAUAGUAAAAUAUUUUAACAGUUGAAAUUAAUGAAUAGACUAAUUAAAGGCAUUUUAAUACAUGUUUUUAAAAUUAAGCGAUCAAUUACGGAGUUUGCACAUGGCUUGUGGAGGCAGAUUGGUGCAAAGAUAGCAGGUGGAAUGAGCUUUGGUGGAAGACUUGCUAAGCAGGCGAGACUUGUCAUGUUGACGCUGGAGAAUAGACUUGCUGGCAGGCUGACUUGUCAAGAAGCACGACCUGGUGACGGGACCUUGUGCAGGAGUGACCUGGACACUCGGCAGGUCUACGAAGUACUCGACAGUCCAAAAACAGGCAGGGGUACUUGGAGCUCGAAAGCCCGAAGUGCACAGACCUGCAUUGCCCCGGUCGGCAUUGGCAGGUGCUAAACAUAUGUGAAACAGGGCUAGUACGCGUGAAUUAGAAGUUUGGAUUCUGCAUGGCCCAGGCCGGCAAUGGCAGGUGCUAAACAUAUGUGAAAUAGGGCUAGUACGCGUGAGAGAAGUUUGGAUUUUAAGAAGCUAUAGGAGAAUCCAGCGCCCAAGAAAGAGGGCGACAACAGUUUUGGGAGAAGUACUUGGGAGUUACAAUCCGCGAGAAUUGUCAAAUAGCGUGUCUUCCUUUCUUUCAAAAAAAGAAGAAAUAAAUUUGUAAGUCCUUGACUAAGGCAGGUGGAGAUACAUCUAAAAGAGCUUAUCAAAGUACUAGGUAUCCAAACAAAGAAGCAAAGUUUCCAAAAGAGCUUAUCAAAGUAGCAGGUAUCCAAAUAGAGAAGCAAAGCCACCUUCAGAACAAGACAAAUGAUCAAAGAUUGUACAGUUGUCUUCCUUUGGUCAUUUAUUUAACCUUUAGCAUGCAAUGGCCAAUGCAGUAAACUUUCUUAACUUUAUUCAUAAAAAUAAGAUGAAUUCCAUAUUAAUCAAAACCAGACACACACAAGCAAUCAUAAACUUAACAAAAAUAGAGCAAAUCUCUAAUUCCUCCCCAUGAAGUAUAAUUUUGUAAAUUUAUAAUCAAACAAAAAAUAUAUACGCCGAUCACUCGAAGAGGGAAAGGGAGCAACCCACAUCCCCAUCCGAAAUGGGUAGAGAGACCAACUAAAUUCGGCAAGGAGAAAGAUGAAGCCUCAUAUGUUAACUCUCAAAAGGAGAGAAACUCUGUUCAUUAGCGUUGAAACAUUGUUGCGGAAACUCUUUAAUUCUAUUAACAAUUUCUUUAAGCUUUUUUUUUUUGUAUUAAGCUAUAUUUAUAUAGUCUCAUCAUAAAUCACAAUAAGUUUUAGGCACAUGAUUGUAUUUUACUAUUAUUAUUAUUAUUAUAAAUAUUAUUUUGUAUUUAUUAUAAUUAUUAUAGAUGACUUGAGGUACAGUCCGGCCUAAAUUUAGGAUUAGUGUAUGGUUUUGUAAGCUUGAGUUUUCUUGAUCCCUUUCCUUCUUAUUUCUCUCCCAUUUUGUCAUUUUGAAUGUGCUAUUUCUGGCCCAUGUUCUAACAUAAACGCCAGGCCAUGCAAAAUGAUCUUCGAAAAUACGAGGCUUCAAGCGGCCAUUUAAUCCCUCGACCAGCCUUUAAGGAACAUGCUCACUCCUUUUCCGGGUUUUGUUCUAAUGAAUAUUAUAAGUGGUGGGGCCUAACUGGUUUUAGGUCCCUUGGGCUUAUGAUUGUCUCCUGAGGUUUAGGUCUCAGCCAAGCCAAGCCCUCCUUUGAAGGUAUUUUAUGGGCUCUUAUUGCGUUGGCCUCGUUUGUUACGGUAUGGGCCAUCAUGAGCCUUGAAGAUCGGAGCCUGUUGCCUUGUGGUCUGAAACUGAUUUGUAGUGCCCUUUACUUCCUCACCAAUUAUUCUAUGAUUGGUAAGGGGUAAAUAUCGAGACUUCAUUUAAUUUUACUUAGCUCGAGAGAUGGAUUUUGAUAAGUGCCAUUUUUUUUAAUCUUCUUCUAUUUUCAAAAAUUGUUUUCCAUAUAUCACUCCUCUUCCUGCUACGCUUUUGCUACUCUGCUUUCUCUUCUUCUAUAAUCUUGCUAUCUCAACUUGACGUACAUUAUCGUUCUUUCCAUGGCUUCUAUUGACAUUCCUGCAGUGGACGAUUCAGUCUCUUCCAUUACCCCUUCCUCGUUGCUCCAACAUCUUUUCCAGAACCUCAUAGAUACAAAGAUUUUUAGAAUUAGGGCCUCUUCAGAUAACAAGAGAAUAGCUUUGUCCAACCCAUCUCUCAGGGGUUUAGUAGAUGCUCAGAUUGGGCGCAAUUUGGUAUUCUUCCUCAAAUAAUAUGAAAUUGGGUUGGCUUUCAAUUUACCCCUUUUUUUUUUCAUUGAGGUUAUUCAACAUUAUAGAGCGACUCCAAGAAUGUUGACGCCUAAUUCCAUUUUAUUCAUGAGUUGCUUCAAAUCAGUCUGCUUAUGUUGGGGUUUUACUCUUUUUAUCGACUUAUUCUCGAUCUUCUUUAGUUUGGUCAGGUCAAGCAAUGGGUUUUAUUAUUUCUACCCCUGGACAAGGUUAUCUAUCUUUACAAGUUAUAAAGAUUCAAUCAAGAGAUAGAUUGAGAAUUUUGCUAUUAUCAAGCUAAAAGAGAGCUAUAGGGUCGAAUGGAACGUCGACUUAUCCUAGGAGAGUACCUUAGGACUGUAAUAAAUUUCCUAGAUUAAACCUUGAGUUUGAUCUUAUUCCACACACAACUUCAAUCCUCCUUAUGUUGGAGAAAAUUUACAUCCUAUUAUUCUGUCUCCUUCAACAAAUCCAAUACAUAUUUUCGUUGAUUCAAGAAGAUUCCCGCCUUUGAUCUUGAAACCUCAAUUCAUGCAACCAAGGUCUCUCAUUUCAAAAUCUUUUGAUAGAUGUUCUUGCAAUCUUCUUCUUUCUUUCGGAUCAUCUCUUAUAACUAUCAUAUCAUCGACAUAAAUAAUAAAUGUUGUAAUUUUUCCAUCCUUCCUUUUAAAAGACAAAGUAUGGUCUUGAUUACUCUGUCAAUAACUAAAAGCUGCCAUUGAUUGUGUGAAUCACCCAAACUAGGCUUCUGGUGAUUGCUUCAACCCAUAUAGCACCUUUUUCAACUUAGAAACCUUCGUGCCGAUUGAGUUUUCAGUUAUACUUCCUUCUCAAUAUAGACUUCCUCAUAAAGUUCUCCGUGCAAGAAAGCAUUCUUCACGUCAAAUUGUUUUAAUGGCCAAUCUAGAUUUGCCGCUAAGGAUAGCAAAACCCGAACAAUAUCCAUCUUGGCUAUAGGAACAAAUGUCUCCGUAUAAUCAAUGCCAUAUGCUUGGGUAUAUCCCUUCGCAACUAAUCUCGCAUUGCAUCUUUCAAUUGAACUAUUUGCAUUUUAUUUCAUUGUAUACACCUAACAACAGCCAAUAGUUUUCUUUUCAGCAAGACAUUCAACCAUAUCCCAUGUUUCAUUCUUUAGUAAGGACUUCAUUUCUUCAACAUUGCUUCUCUCCAGUUAGGGGCAGCUAGAGCCUCCUGUACACUUUUAGGUAUAGAUACACCAGACAAUUGGUUCAUAAAUGCAAGAUUUGAUGCAGAAAAAUUAGAGGUAAAAUUAAUCAUAGGAUAAUUGGCUUUACUAGAAAAAUCAGGUUCAUAAGUAGCCUUUGGAAUACCUCUAGUAUUGCAAUUUGGUAACUCUUUUAUAGGCAUGGAAAUACAUUGGGAGGAUGAUUGGUUUGGUACUUCUUCAUGAUCCACUUCUUCUGUAUGAUUCAGUUCAAACACUUCCUCAUCAUGAUUUGGUUCCAUCAUUUGAUCGUGAUCGGGUUCACAAAUAGUAGGUUGUGUGGCUUCUUCAAUAAUAGUUAUGUUGCUACUCUCACUUUCAUCGUAUACGAAAGUCCAAAUUUCAUCAUGAUACUCCCCCUGAAUUCCAAGCUCUCCUUUAAAAAACAUGACAUUUUCGUGGAACAUGACUGUAACAUCCCAAAAAUAAAAAUAAAGUAAAAAUAAAAAUAAUAAAUAAAUAAUAAAUAAAUAAAAAGAAUAUGAAUAAAGAAAAGAAAAACAAAAGAAAAGAAAAAAAAGAUAAUAAAAUAAAUUAAUUAAAUUUUAAUUUAAAGCCAAGUGGCACAACCAAAGAAAAGUAAAAAAAAAAAAAAGAAAAGAAAAGAAAAAGGAGAAAAGACUAGAAGAGGAAGGGAAUUUAUUUUUCCCAUUCAUUUUCUUCUCCUUCCCGUAAACAUGCAUAAACCCCUCUUCCUCUAUCUUUUCUUUCUACCCCAAAAAUCUCUAAUCAACUAUCCAUCUUCUCCCAACACAUUUUCAAAGUAGAAUUUGAAGAAAAGAAAAGAGAAAAUUCAAGAUUGAGGGAGGGUGAAUAGUAACCAAGGGUUUGGAAAUUUAAAGGUAUAUUAGGGGUUUUAAUAUAGGGAUGUUUGUUAUUAUUUUUAUGUGAAUAUUUAUGAGAAAUAUUGUAUUAAUAUGAUUUAUUGGUUUAUUUUUCAUGAAGAAGAAAUGGAAGGGAAAAGUGGAAACUCUAAAGGAAAAGGGAAAGAAAAGGAAGAUUAGGAAGUUUUAAGCUUGUGAAAGAUUUUGGAAGGUUUGUGCUCAACUUUAUUUGAAUAAUUUAAGAAUUUAUUAAGUAUGCUCUAUUUGAAAAUUUUAUUAUCCUAGUAAAAAUAGACCAAGUGAAUAAUAGUUUAAUUAUUUUGUAUAAUCAAAGUUUGAGAAAUAAUAGAUUCAAUAGAUAGAAAAUUUUAAAAUUAAUAUGUAAUUUAACCAAAAACAAUUUAGGUUAUGGAUCUAAUGAAAUGACUCCAUUUUCUUUGAUAGAAAUAUAAUUUAGAUAUAGUGACAAAUAAAAAAAAUUAGUAGAAAAAAAAAGAGAUAUUAGAUUAGAUGAAAAAAAAAAUUAAAAGAGUAAGAAAAGUGAGAUAUAGUGUAAAUAUGAUGUUUAAAAAUAAUAAUAAUAAUAAUAUAAGAUAAAAAUAGAAAUUCAAAGAAAAAAAAAAAGAAAUAAGGUAUAUUGUGAUAAAUAGAAAAUAUAUAUAUAUAUAUAUAUAUUAUAUUAGGAAAAAAAAUAAAAAGAAUAAUAGUUAAUUAAUUUAUGAUUAAAGUAUGAAUUUAUAAUUUAUGUAGUGGAAUUAAAUUGAUAGAUUUAUAUGAUAUGACAAUACUGAAAAGCAGAGUUGUAAUAUGAUAAAAUGUUAUAGUUUGAACAAUUGACAGUUACACUAUAUUGAAAGUUUUUUUUUACCAUGUUUAAAUCUAUAAAUUAUUGAAAGUCUGGCCUAGUAAGUUUGGUGGGAAUUGUGAGUUAGUUUAAGGGUGUGGCAUGCCAUAUACAGAUCUUGCAGUACUGCACUACAGUUACACUGAUUUUUGGGAUACAAUGAGGUACCCUACAGUUAUAGACUCGGCUUUCGAGCCGUACAGUUAUUUGGCACUUUGUGCCCUACAGUUACAGUUUCUUUAUCUGACUUAAUAG
Molecule: long non-coding RNA, 25416 nt
Filed under: Manihot esculenta (cassava)
Lineage: Eukaryota; Viridiplantae; Streptophyta; Magnoliopsida; Malpighiales; Euphorbiaceae
Description: long non-coding RNA (MESC_LNC001956)
Source: RNAcentral